Molecule: small nuclear RNA, 67 nt
Filed under: Carlito syrichta (Philippine tarsier)
Lineage: Eukaryota; Metazoa; Chordata; Mammalia; Primates; Tarsiidae
Source: RNAcentral
GCAUUUUAAAUACAUAUAGUAAUAUUGGAACGAUAUAGAGAAGAUUAGCAUGGCCCCCGCAUAAAGA